Molecule: ribosomal RNA, 255 nt
Filed under: uncultured bacterium
Lineage: Bacteria
Description: partial 16S ribosomal RNA
Rfam family: Bacterial small subunit ribosomal RNA
Source: RNAcentral
UCAAACCAAAGCUGGCGACCGGCGCACGGGUGAGUAACACGUAUCCAACCUGCCUCAUACUCGGGGAUAGCCUUUCGAAAGAAAGAUUAAUAUCCGAUAGCAUAUAUUUCCCGCAUGGGUUUUAUAUUAAAGAAAUUCGGUAUGAGAUGGGGAUGCGUUCCAUUAGUUUGUUGGGGGGUAACGGCCCACCAAGACUACGAUGGAUAGGGGUUCUGAGAGGAAGGUCCCCCACAUUGGAACUGAGACACGGUCCAA